RNAcentral lists this ribosomal RNA (496 nucleotides) under uncultured bacterium. RNAcentral describes it as "partial 16S ribosomal RNA". It matches the Rfam family "Bacterial small subunit ribosomal RNA", at positions 28 to 506 of the family's 1533-position model. The record is from RNAcentral.
GACGAACGCUGGCGGCGUGCCUAAUACAUGCAAGUAGAACGCUGAAGAGAGGAGCUUGCUCUUCUUGGAUGAGUUGCGAACGGGUGAGUAACGCGUAGGUAACCUGCCUUGUAGCGGGGGAUAACUAUUGGAAACGAUAGCUAAUACCGCACAACAAUGGAUGACACAUGUCAUUUAUUUGAAAGGGGCAAUUGCUCCACUACAAGAUGGACCUGCGUUGUAUUAGCUAGUAGGUGAGGUAAUGGCUCACCUAGGCGACGAUACAUAGCCGACCUGAGAGGGUGAUCGGCCACACUGGGACUGAGACACGGCCCAGACUCCUACGGGAGGCAGCAGUAGGGAAUCUUCGGCAAUGGGGGCAACCCUGACCGAGCAACGCCGCGUGAGUGAAGAAGGUUUUCGGAUCGUAAAGCUCUGUUGUAAGUCAAGAACGGGUGUGAGAGUGGAAAGUUCACACUGUGACGGUAGCUUACCAGAAAGGGACGGCUAACUACGU